This is a long non-coding RNA of Leucoraja erinaceus (little skate), 1448 nucleotides long. RefSeq lists it as uncharacterized. The record is from RefSeq and is a predicted model, not a curated record. NCBI's taxonomy places the organism in Eukaryota, Metazoa, Chordata, Chondrichthyes, Rajiformes, Rajidae. The transcript has 2 exons.
GGCCCGGGAAAAAGUCCCAGUCCCGGUCCUGGCGGGACUCCUGCCGCCGGCCAGCAUAGCGACAGAGUGACAGACCUGCCCCGUUCAUGCUCACAGCUUCAUUCCUCUGUUCCUACCCAGCAAUUAAUUUAAUUUGCAGAUUCAGCGUGGAAACUGGCCCGCCGACCAGCGAUCUCCGCACAUUUACAAUUUUACCCAGUUAAUUAACCUAGAAACCUGUGCGUCUUAGGAACUCCAGGAGAAAACCCAGGCAGGUCACGGGAAGACCAUACGAACUCUGUACAGGCAGCGCCCUUUAGUGACGAUCAAGCCCGGGUCUCUGGCGCUGUAAAGGCAGCAACUAUCGCUGUUUGUUUUAAAAGUCAAAUGUUGAAUUUAGAUUGUGUGGGAGGGAUCUGCAGCUGCUGGUUUACACCGAAGAUAGACACAAAAUGCUGGAGUAACACAGCGGGUCUGGAGUAAAGGAGACCCUUCUUCAGAUUGUUGGAUGGAGUUAGAAAGUGCCCGAUCCAAAGGUUGUCAAGGAAUGUGCCAUGGAGCUGAGAAACAUCGGGGAUUUGUUUAACGUCCUGCAGCUCAUGCUAAAUACUGUCAGCAAGAUGUUUCAGCGGUCCACCUGAACGCCGAAGUCAAAGCUACAGAGGAUGGCUGGAAAAAGUGUGUCGGUUUUCUCUAACUGCUGCCGGUUGGGGAGGAAUUCAUGUCUCAACAUGCCCGCGAAGCGAGCAGACUGUAUUGUGAAUGGUGACCAGGUUAUCGAAUGGGGAAGUGGAGAAAUUAAUACAUUGAGGGUCUGUUUUUAGAAGUAAGAUAUGACUGAUAUGAAUGGUACUAACUACUGGUCAGAGGACAAAAUAAAAUCUAAAAGUGAGAAGUGUAGCUUCUAAAUGUAUUUGGGAAGAGUGCCUGGGGAACCAUGGACUGAAAUGUCCCAUAAAGUAACGUUUGCCCAAUAUUUUCAAUGUAUCUACAUGUCGGAGAGGUGUGUAUCUCCUAGAGCGACCUAUAAUUGCUGAUUGUAAAAAAAUGGCAAAUAAGAUUACACAAUAGAUCAGGAAACAUGGUUGAAGGCUUUGUGAGAAAUCAUGAAAGAUAUGUUUGAAAUUUCAGUGAUUUGCUUUGUGAAAUGGUAUACAUUUACCUUUUGUAAUGUAUUUUGAAAUGCAACUAAAUGUCUUUUGUGAUGCAUUUUCCAUUAGUAAUAACAUAAAGUUAUUUGAAGUAGCAAUGUAUAGCCUCUUUGUAUGAGCAUAAGUAGUUAAUAGGAGGAAACCUAUUAUUCACGAGGUUUUAAAAUAUUAAAAGGACUCUCUUUAAAGUUAAUGUGGCUUUAAAAAUAAAAUAUUGUCUUUGACUAUCAUCUUUUGAAUUUAUAUUAUGAUAACACAGUAAGACAGCUCUGAUUCUGUAGUUUAUAGAAAUAUAUUAAAUAAAUGUGCUGCGAUUGA